RNAcentral lists this ribosomal RNA (253 nucleotides) under uncultured prokaryote. RNAcentral's name for it is "partial 16S ribosomal RNA". It matches the Rfam family "Bacterial small subunit ribosomal RNA", at positions 524 to 776 of the family's 1533-position model. The record is from RNAcentral.
UACGAAGGGGACUAGCGUUGUUCGGAAUUACUGGGCGUAAAGCGCGCGCAGGCGGCCCAUCAAGUCAGGGGUGAAAGCCCGGAGCUCAACUCCGGAAAUGCCUUUGAAACUGUUGGGCUUGAGUACGGGAGAGGUGAGUGGAAUUCCCAGUGUAGAGGUGAAAUUCGUAGAUAUUGGGAAGAACACCGGUGGCGAAGGCGGCUCACUGGCUCGUUUCUGACGCUCAGGCGCGACAGCGUGGGGAUCAAACAGG